GUUGUAUUACCUGGCUUGGGGAGUUAUCAUAUGUGUGUCUAGUACUGGUAACUAACUUCUGUCUCUUAUAUGCUGAUACUCUUUAAUUAGCAAUUAUGUCUUUGUUCCUCUGAGGAACGUAAACACUUGAGUGAAAUAUUCAAGUCAUUUUCCUUUCUUCUUCUAAAUUACCACCUCUGAGACUCCAUACAGAAUCCUUUUCUCAGGUUGCAUUGUAUUAUCUUAAUUUAACUUGUUUGUAAUUCAUCGUGCUCAUUUUUGUUAAUUUUAUUCUGAUGUUGCUGUUUUUAAAUCGUGCAACAAAGUGUUAUCUUUCUGCUGUUUGUGUAACUGCUUUCCAUCUGUCCAUUUUCUAAUUGUUUCUUCCAAUUUAGGGUCAUGGGGGAAAACUUUGUUUUGGACUCUACCUGUAAAUUCUGAUCACAGUUGAGGCAUUCAUCCCUGGUCAACAGACAAGACCAAUUCAGGUGCUCGUCAGGAUGAGUGAUGGGACUAUUAACAGAAGACUCUUCGCCCACUGUUUUUGCUCUUGAGAGGCAACUGAGAGCUCAAGAGUGCCUGCCCCGUGAAUCGAGUGAAUCAUUUCCAGUUUCGGGCCAUUCUUCUGCAAUUUCAGCUGGGGCCGAAGACUUCCCAGAGGGUGGUAAAAGAAUAGGGUUGUCUUCACAUGGGAGCUGGAUGUCAAAAUUGUCUUCAGAAGAGGUAGUGGACAUUAUUUCCACAAGGAAAUUCUCAGUAUUACUCCAGAUGAUCAUACAGGAUAUUUGGUAUGACCAAGUUAGAAUUUCUAAAUGUUGUUUUAUCUGUCUCUUUGUUGCAAACUACCAGCACAGAAGAAAACGAGAAACCUAACAAAUUCCCACCAUCAUGUGUGAUGUAGUGUAACAAAUAUUGGUUCGUGAUCAUUUUCCAGGCAGUAUUAUGCUAUGGAAAGUUGGUUGCUCUUUGCCAGAAAUGUCCUGUUUUACGGAAAUUCAAAAUAUUUGAUGACAGAGCCUAGAUUUGAACCAGCAAUCUCUAUAUUGUGAAUGCGUGAGUCCCCACUGACUGGAGGGUUUUGCAGCAUAAAAUCCAGUUAGAAUGUGUUAUCAGGAGCCAGGGUUCUUGCAAUAGGCAUGGUGCUUAAAAAUGCAUAGUGCUUAAAAAUCACCAACUAUGGCAGAAAAACAAGGAAAAAUGACCACAGCAAGAAUCUCAAAGUAUAGAAUGGACAGAAGUGGAAAACAGAUAACAAAAAGAGAAAUCCCUUCAGACAGGCUGUCCCGAACAUGCUUAAUCUAACACUGCGUUGUGAGGGUGGCUGUCCAGUCCUCUGCUGCAGGGGGCAGAGCGGUGGUUCUGUGGCUAAGGAUCUGGGCCUGUGGCUGGAAGGUUGCUGGUCCAAAUCUUACAGCAGGCAGAGGAAUCCUACUUCGUUGGGCCCCUGAGCAAGGCCCUUAACCCCAACUGCUCCAGGGGCACUGUACAAUGGCUGACCCUGUGCUCCCCAGGCCUCUCUCCCUAUCUAUGUGUCUCACAGAGAGCAAGCUGGGGUAUGUGAAAAGAUGAAUUCCUAAUGCAAGAAAUUAUAUAGGACUGUUAUGAUGUUAUGUUAUGUUAGAUGUGUGAGGAAAAUAGUCAAUGAGAAACAUCGUUGUCAGCAUUUUUGUAAUGAAAUAAAGCCUGACAAAGACACCGC
RNAcentral lists this long non-coding RNA (1678 nucleotides) under Lepisosteus oculatus (spotted gar). Its description in RNAcentral is "lncRNA (ENSLOCG00000021049.1)". The record is from RNAcentral. Lineage: Eukaryota; Metazoa; Chordata; Actinopteri; Semionotiformes; Lepisosteidae.